GAUGAAGAACGUAGCGAAAUGCGAUAAGUAAUGUGAAUUGCAGAAUUCAGUGAAUCAUCGAAUCUUUGAACGCACAUUGCGCCCUCUGGUAUUCCGGGGGGCAUGCCUGUUCGAGCGUCAUUAUAACCACUCAAGCUCUCGCUUGGUAUUGGGGUUCGCGGUUUCGCGGCCCCUAAAAUCAGUGGCGGUGCCUGUCGGCUCUACGCGUAGUAAUACUUCUCGCGAUUGAGUUCGAUAGGUCUACUUGCCAGUAACCCCCAAUUUUUACAGGUUGAUCUCGGAUCAGGUAGGGAUACCCGCUGAACUUAAGCAUAUCAAUAAGCGGAGGA
This 329-nucleotide unclassified non-coding RNA is filed under the name soil metagenome. RNAcentral describes it as "partial contains 5.8S ribosomal RNA, internal transcribed spacer 2, and large subunit ribosomal RNA". The stretch from base 1 to 120 matches the Rfam family "5.8S ribosomal RNA", at positions 35 to 154 of the family's 154-position model. The record is from RNAcentral.